AUGACUCUCGGCAACGGAUAUCUCGGCUCUCGCAUCGAUGAAGAACGUAGCGAAAUGCGAUACCUAGUGUGAAUUGCAGAAUCCCGCGAACCAUCGAGUCUUUGAACGCAAGUUGCGCCCGAGGCCAUUCGGCCGAGGGCACGCCUGCCUGGGCGUCACGC
RNAcentral lists this ribosomal RNA (161 nucleotides) under Hordeum procerum. RNAcentral's name for it is "5.8S ribosomal RNA". It matches the Rfam family "5.8S ribosomal RNA". From Rfam's summary of the family: 5.8S ribosomal RNA (5.8S rRNA) is a component of the large subunit of the eukaryotic ribosome. It is transcribed by RNA polymerase I as part of the 45S precursor that also contains 18S and 28S rRNA. The record is from RNAcentral. Lineage: Eukaryota; Viridiplantae; Streptophyta; Magnoliopsida; Poales; Poaceae.